RNAcentral lists this ribosomal RNA (253 nucleotides) under uncultured bacterium. RNAcentral's name for it is "partial 16S ribosomal RNA". It matches the Rfam family "Bacterial small subunit ribosomal RNA", at positions 524 to 776 of the family's 1533-position model. The record is from RNAcentral.
UACGAAGGGGGCUAGCGUUGCUCGGAAUCACUGGGCGUAAAGCGCACGUAGGCGGCUUGUUAAGUCAGGGGUGAAAUCCUGGAGCUCAACUCCAGAACUGCCUUUGAUACUGGCGAGCUUGAGUCCGGGAGAGGUGAGUGGAACUGCGAGUGUAGAGGUGAAAUUCGUAGAUAUUCGGCGGAACACCAGUGGCGAAGGCGACUCACUGGCCCGAUACUGACGCUGAGGCGCGAAAGCGUGGGGAGCAAACAGG